AGUGAACGCUGGCGGUAGGCCUAACACAUGCAAGUCGAACGGCAGCACAGUAAGAGCUUGCUCUUACGGGUGGCGAGUGGCGGACGGGUGAGGAAUACAUCGGAAUCUACUUUUUCGUGGGGGAUAACGUAGGGAAACUUACGCUAAUACCGCAUACGACCUACGGGUGAAAGCAGGGGAUCUUCGGACCUUGCGCGAAUGAAUGAGCCGAUGUCGGAUUAGCUAGUUGGCGGGGUAAAGGCCCACCAAGGCGACGAUCCGUAGCUGGUCUGAGAGGAUGAUCAGCCACACUGGAACUGAGACACGGUCCAGACUCCUACGGGAGGCAGCAGUGGGGAAUAUUGGACAAUGGGCGCAAGCCUGAUCCAGCCAUACCGCGUGGGUGAAGAAGGCCUUCGGGUUGUAAAGCCCUUUUGUUGGUAAAGAAAAGCAGCAGGUUAAUACCCCGCUGUUCUGACGGUACCCAAAGAAUAAGCACCGGCUAACUUCGUG
RNAcentral lists this ribosomal RNA (492 nucleotides) under uncultured bacterium. RNAcentral describes it as "partial 16S ribosomal RNA". It matches the Rfam family "Bacterial small subunit ribosomal RNA", at positions 29 to 507 of the family's 1533-position model. The record is from RNAcentral.